ACGUAGGGUGCGAGCGUUAAUCGGAAUUACUGGGCGUAAAGCGUGCGCAGGCGGUUCGUUGUGUCGGUGGUGAAAGCCCCGGGCUCAACCUGGGAAUGGCCAUGGAAACUGGCGAACUGGAGUGUGGCAGAGGGGGGUGGAAUUCCGCGUGUAGCAGUGAAAUGCGUAGAGAUGCGGAGGAACACCGAUGGCGAAGGCAGCCCCCUGGGCUAGCACUGACGCUCAGGCACGAAAGCGUGGGGAGCAAACAGGAUUAGAUACCCUGGUAGUCCACGCCCUAAACGAUGUCAACUAGGUGUUCGGGAAGCGAUUUCUGGGUACCGUAGCUAACGCGUGAAGUUGACCGCCUGGGGAGUACGGCCGCAAGGUUA
RNAcentral lists this ribosomal RNA (371 nucleotides) under uncultured bacterium. Its description in RNAcentral is "bacterial SSU rRNA". It matches the Rfam family "Bacterial small subunit ribosomal RNA", at positions 525 to 896 of the family's 1533-position model. The record is from RNAcentral.